RNAcentral lists this long non-coding RNA (350 nucleotides) under Pelobates cultripes (western spadefoot toad). The record is from RNAcentral. Lineage: Eukaryota; Metazoa; Chordata; Amphibia; Anura; Pelobatidae.
AUUGCUUUUCCUGUUCGGCUGCUUCCAGAGUUCGUGUAUUUCUUGUUCGUGAGUUGGGGAUUCGUACAGUUUGGAGUUCGGGAGGUUGGUGAUUGCAAUAGCUGCUGGUCUAUGGGAAAGGGGAUUAUCGCCUAAACCGAUUUUAUCCCCUUGUGAGAGAAACGGUCCGUUACAAUUGGUGGCAGCGGUGGGAUCGUUCCUACAACCAGAAAGACAGCUACAGGGCAACACCAUUCCUUGGAUUACAAAGUGAGGGCAACGCCAGUACCCGUACAGCGACCCUAUCUACAAAAGAACUAACUUCAGCAGCGCAAGCAUGGCACCCAGCUACACUCAGGAGCAGUAUGACA